Molecule: ribosomal RNA, 486 nt
Filed under: uncultured bacterium
Lineage: Bacteria
Description: partial 16S ribosomal RNA
Rfam family: Bacterial small subunit ribosomal RNA
Source: RNAcentral
GAUGAACGCUGGCGGCGUGCCUAAUACAUGCAAGUCGAACGCUGGAAAUCUAGCUUGCUAGAUUGAAGGAGUGGCGAACGGGUGAGUAAUACAUAAGCAACCUACCCACGAAGACUGGGAUAAUCUCUGGAAACGGGGACUAAUACCGGAUAGGUAAUCGGAAGGCAUCUUCUGAUUAUUAAAGGUUAAAAACACUGGUGGAUGGGCUUAUGGCGCAUUAGUUAGUUGGUGAGGUAACGGCCCACCAAGACGAUGAUGCGUAGCCGGCCUGAGAGGGUGAACGGCCACAUUGGGACUGGGACACGGCCCAGACUCCUACGGGAGGCAGCAGUAGGGAAGUUUCGGCAAUGGGGGAAAACCUGACCGAGCAACGCCGCGUGAGUGAUGACGGCCUUCGGGUUGUAAAGCUCUGUUGUAAGGGAAGAACGGUAGAUAGAGAAUAUCUAAAUGACGGUACCUUACCAGAAAGCCACGGCUAACUACGUG